This is a small nuclear RNA of Fukomys damarensis (Damara mole-rat), 107 nucleotides long. NCBI's taxonomy places the organism in Eukaryota, Metazoa, Chordata, Mammalia, Rodentia, Bathyergidae. The record is from Ensembl.
GUGCUCACUUCAGCAGCAAAUAUACUAAAACUGGAACAAUACAAAGAAGAUUAGGAUGGCCCCUGUGCAAGGAUGACAUACUAAUUUGUGAAGUGCUCCACAUUUUC